ACUCCUACGGGAGGCAGCAGUGGGGAAUAUUGCACAAUGGGCGCAAGCCUGAUGCAGCCAUGCCGCGUGUGUGAAGAAGGCCUUCGGUUGUAAAGCACUUUCAGUUGUGAGGAAGGUGGUGUCGUUAAUAGCGGCAUCAUUUGACGUUAGCAACAGAAGAAGCACCGGCUAACUCCGUGCCAGCAGCCGCGGUAAUACGGAGGGUGCGAGCGUUAAUCGGAAUUACUGGGCGUAAAGCGCAUGCAGGUGGUUUGUUAAGUCAGAUGUGAAAGCCCGGGGCUCAACCUCGGAACUGCAUUUGAAACUGGCAGACUAGAGUACUGUAGAGGGGGUAGAAUUUCAGGUGUAGCGGUGAAAUGCGUAGAGAUCUGAAGGAAUACCGGUGGCGAAGGCGGCCCCCUGGACAGAUACUGACACUCAGAUGCGAAAGCGUGGGGAGCAAACAGGAUUAGAU
Molecule: ribosomal RNA, 454 nt
Filed under: uncultured bacterium
Lineage: Bacteria
Description: bacterial SSU rRNA
Rfam family: Bacterial small subunit ribosomal RNA
Source: RNAcentral